CCCCAACUAGCUCUGUUGGUAGUGCAUGAGACUCAUAAUCCCAGGGUAGUGGGUUCGUAUCCCACGUCGGGCG
Lepisosteus oculatus (spotted gar) is the source of this 73-nucleotide transfer RNA. It matches the Rfam family "tRNA". From Rfam's summary of the family: Transfer RNA (tRNA) molecules are approximately 80 nucleotides in length. Their secondary structure includes four short double-helical elements and three loops (D, anti-codon, and T loops). Further hydrogen bonds mediate the characteristic L-shaped molecular structure. tRNAs have two regions of fundamental functional importance: the anti-codon, which is responsible for specific mRNA codon recognition, and the 3' end, to which the tRNAs corresponding amino acid is attached (by aminoacyl-tRNA synthetases). tRNAs cope with the degeneracy of the genetic code in two manners: having more than one tRNA (with a specific anti-codon) for a particular amino acid; and 'wobble' base-pairing, i.e. permitting non-standard base-pairing at the 3rd anti-codon position. The record is from Rfam. NCBI's taxonomy places the organism in Eukaryota, Metazoa, Chordata, Actinopteri, Semionotiformes, Lepisosteidae.